AGUGGAGUUGCUGGAUCAUAUGGUAAUGAUAUGUUUCACUGUUUGAGGAAUUGUACUGUUUUCCAACUGUGGCUGUACCAUUUUGCACUCCUACCAACAGU
Molecule: microRNA precursor, 101 nt
Filed under: Marmota monax (woodchuck)
Lineage: Eukaryota; Metazoa; Chordata; Mammalia; Rodentia; Sciuridae
Source: RNAcentral